CCUACGGGAGGCAGCAGUGAGGAAUAUUGGUCAAUGGCCGGAAGGCUGAACCAGCCAUGCCGCGUGGGUGAGGAAGUACUUCGGUAUGUAAAGCCCUAUCAGCAGGGAAGAAAAUGACGGUACCUGACUAAGAAGCCCCGGCUAACUACGUGCCAGCAGCCGCGGUAAUACGUAGGGGGCAAGCGUUAUCCGGAUGUACUGGGGGUAAAGGGAGCGUAGACGGCGUGCCAAGUCUGGUGUGAAAGGCCGGGGCUCAACCCCGGGACUGCAUUGGAAACUGGCAUGCUGGAGUGCCGGAGGGGCAAGCGGAAUUCCUAGUGUAGCGGUGAAAUGCGUAGAUAUUAGGAGGAAAACCGGUGGCGAAGGCGGCUUGCUGGACGGUAACUGACGUUGAGGCUCGAAAGCGUGGGGAGCAAACAGGAUUAGAUACCCCGGUAGUC
Molecule: ribosomal RNA, 440 nt
Filed under: uncultured bacterium
Lineage: Bacteria
Description: partial 16S ribosomal RNA
Rfam family: Bacterial small subunit ribosomal RNA
Source: RNAcentral